Molecule: long non-coding RNA, 5066 nt
Organism: Parus major (Great Tit)
Lineage: Eukaryota; Metazoa; Chordata; Aves; Passeriformes; Paridae
Exons: 3
Source: RefSeq, a predicted model, not a curated record
CCUCCUCCUCCUCCUCCUCCUCCCUGACAAGCGAAACACACCCCGAGCUGUCCCCCUGCGCUCCCAGAGUCGGGGCAGCGUUGGUAACUCCCGGAGAGGCCCUGAGGCGAAGGGGGCAGAUGGAGGCGCCUCUGAGGGGGCCCUGGCCCCGGGCUCGCACCCAGUGCCCGCCGGUGGGCCCGGGGCUGAAUCCCACAAACUUGUCCCGAGGCGCUAAGGGUGGAUCAUUCCUGAAGGGGAUGCAGGAGUAUUUGUAGGAGACAGGUUAGGUGGUCCUCGGGGUGCAGCCGAAAGCACGGUGGUCUGAUGUAGGUCUCAGUACAGCGGUGUCCACGAAAAACGUGUCAAGAAUGAUUUAAAGUGUUAGAGAUGCAUAUUCCUCUUGUGGCUGAGUCUGAAUUGUGUGCCCAUGAAGCUGAAGUGCCAAGUGAGCUGCUAAAUGUAACUGCUCUGGUUUUUUGGAGCUUCUGUUUAGUGCUAGAGAAGCUUCUGUGGGCCAGUCCUUAGCCCCAGCUGUUUGUGCUUCAACCCAUCCCAGAACAUGAUUCUAUCUUAUUUUGUAUGCCAACUGAAUAUCACCGGAUGAGACAAAAAUGAACAGGAAGGAGAAUAAAGUGAGAACUGUAAAGGACUGCUGCCUCAGAACUGCUGUUGCCAUAGAGCUGCUAACAAGGAAAAAAACUGCAGCAUGGAUUUCUUGUGCUGUUGAAGGUAAGAUGAGGGCACAGCAAAGACUGUAGGAGGGGGAGGGGAGGCGAGGCAGAGGGAGGGAGAAGAGGAAGAAAGUCUGCGUCCUUGCUGUCUAAAAAAGGAAAUUCAGUGUCAGUGUUCAUGAGCAGAACUGCUGGUGCAGAAGAACAAAGCUAUCUCAGUUGUUUAGGGUAGCAGGAGUGAUGAGCAAGCAAGCACACUCCCAUGCUUUCAGGAGGAAAUGCUGCAAAGAAAGGAGGGAGAAGAAGAGUGACUUUUUCCUUUAGAAAAUACUCACUGCUGCUUCAAGGUAGCUGCUUUUUGAUACUACUUUGGCAUUAAUGUUAUUACCCUGAGUAAAGACAGCCAUGAAAAAACUCAGUAGGGAGAGAAACAACAAGAAAAAGUGUUGGUAAAAAAAUCAGCAUAAUCUUGAGCUGAUGAAUGCAGUUUGUAUGUAUUAAAAUGUCUCAGUUGUUACAUUCAUCUGUGCAGUGCUGUGAAACCUUUCAAAACGCAAGUGAAAUUAUGUUUUUUGUGGUAAGAUUGUUGUGAUAUGUUGAUGUGUUAUCAACCUUUUAUCAAUGAUCUUUUGUCUUCUGUUAUCAAAGUAGAUGUCUUUUGAGUGGAAAUGUAUAGCAAAUAAAUAAAAAUUUAUAUUAAAUACUCAAGCAUACUAACUAGAGAACCAACAUCAGACAAGCUUUCUGUAGGAUCUCUAAUGGGGUUAGCUUUUCAGUUUAAGACUUCAAUAUAAUUGCAGAAUUGUCUGCAAAGCACUCAUGCAAAAGCUGCUGCUGCUGUUUAUACAUCUAUCACGUUACAUAUUUUUGUUCUCCUUCACCUGCUUCUUCUCCCAGUCAUUAGGUUGUUUCUGAGGCAGCUGAACCCAUAUGCCCUGCACAGCAAACCCAGCACGCCUGCCAUGUUUGCAUGGUGGGGCCUUGAGGAGAAUAAAACAAACUGUGGAGGCAGUGAUAACGCUGUCUUAGCUAUGUUGAUACUCCUGUGUUGAUAUUGCUUAACCAUCUGUUUGCUGUGUUAUUGAAUGUGCUUGGAUAGAUCAGCCCUUUCUCACAAUUCCUUGUUUUGCACUUUAUCACCAUUUACCAAAUAGUGUUUGACUGUUCUCCUGGAGUCUGUUUGUAGUUUGGGUCAGAGUGAAUUUUUUUCUAUAGCAGUCUGGUAGUAAGACUGAGUAAUUCAGGCUGUAAAUGUUAGGGCUUCAGAUUUUUAUUUUUAGUAUUAUCCUCUCUCAGUGUGAAAUUGUUAUUCUUUAAGUGUAUAGAGUUUAGCUCGUACAUUUCUCAGUCAUGAAUGGCACUGGGUGAGAUCUAUCAAUCAUGAAUACAUAAGUUUCCAUUUCCAAAGUUUGUCAUGUGGAGUUGGAUGUUCAAGUAUAUUUUUACUAGCCAGACUCAUUUUUCUGGUUCAGACUAAUUUUGUCAAACUUGUAAGCUAUGGAAAGUUCUUCUGCGUUCUUUACAACCGUUUUUUUGAUUUACUUUGCUCCCCAGUGCACUGGGGGUUGACAACAUCCUGUUAAGGUUUGUGGGGGUCCUCUAAGCCACUGCAGGUGAAGUUCGAGUUUUAAUCCAUGACUGAGGUAUCCUCUGGCAGUACAAGUGAUAGUGAUUUAGUUCAGUGUCAGCAAGGGGUUUAGUCUCCUUCUCUGAACAAUUGAUAGUGCUUUGCUGAGUGAAUAACUAUGUUAGAACUGAUUUCCACAGAGCAUUAGGUGUUACAUUUCAGAGGAUAUCACUGGACUUCUGAGUCAAACCAGUUUGGGUUUUUCAGAGAUAUGAGGUGAUUAUUCAAGCAUGACUGUAACGUGUAAUAAACACCUCUUUGAAGAAUAAGUGCUAAACAAGAAAUGGAUGGAUCCUAUCCUAACAAAAAUUUAGUUGCCUAUAUAAAUAUUUAGUGGACGGUUAGUGUUGCAGUCUAAUAUCAAUGUAAUAGUUUUUCAUUUGCAAAGGGGUGGACAGAAGCACAAUGUUGCUAAAUGACAAGCUAUUCUCAUAAAUUUCCAAAUAGUGUGAAUAUUAAUUGCUUCCAGUUGAUGGAUUGAUGGUGGCUAGUAUGUAUUUACAGUGAAAAAGAGCAGAGCUACAGUAGUGCUGAUACAGAAAUAUCUUGAGUGGAGUGCACUCACAUUAUAACAUUUAUAUUGCUGCUGUUCCUAUGCCAAACUGUCAGUACAGAUCUAUCAGUUUGAGUCAAAGUUUCAGAGGCAUCUUGGUUGCCUUACGAUAGAAAAGCAACUUAAUGAAGUUGAACAAGACAGAGGAGUUGUUUGUAAAUCUACUAAUCUGUCCGCACGUUUGUACUGAAUUCUAAAGAAAGAGGUGAUCUUGUAGUUUAUGCUUGGUUUGUCUGCUUCUUCCACUUGGUUUAUAUUGUGGGAGCGAUCAAGAGAAAAAAGAAGUAUGGCAAACAUUGCCCAGAACACUCUAAUCUCUGUAUUUGGGCCAGGAAAAAAAGCUGUUAAGCCACUAGUGCUGCUGUGGUUAAUACCAGGACUUGCAUCAAUUUCCAAAACACAUAUAUGAAAUAUAAAAGCUACUUUGAUGGCUAAUGCUGCCCAUAAUUACCUUUUUGAGGUGUUCCACUGCUCAAUUUCCAUCUCAACCACUCCAAGUAAUAUCAGCUUUCCACACAAUAGGCUUUGGCUGAGUGCUCCAAGGCCUGAUUUUUGAAAUGCUGAGCACCCAUAAUGCUAUUUAAGGUUAAUGGGAGCACAAACUUCUCAGCAAAAUUUAAAAUCGGGCUUCUGCACACAAACCGGAGAUUUUAGUUUAGCAGUCACAAGACUGCUUAAAUGAUCAGUCUGAAUUCUGAAUUCCUUCUGAAACUUUUUUUUUUCUUUUACAGAGAAUGAGUUAUGUCCCAUUAUACCCCUUUGUUUUUAUUAAUUUUGUGAGCACUACUACUCUUUUAUUCAGUACACAGCUAGUAGAACAACUGGCACAUAAAAGGAAGAUAAUUGAGUUAUAGUAGACUUAGUUCUUUGUAAUGUUUUAUGGCAUUAUUCUUUUUUUUCUAUUGGAUUAAAUGGCAAGAAAUUAAUGUCUUUUGACAUGCUUAAGGGUUAGAAUAAGAAAUAAAACACUGUUCCUUUACAUGUGUCUGGUGGAUUUUUCAAGGCACUGAACUGUAGAGUUUUGGAUAUGUAGGUCAAAGUCUUUCUUUAAACAUGCCAUAGCUCCUGUUGAUACUCUGUUGAUAAGCAUAACUUGAAAUCAAUAAUCCUCAAUUCUUUUCUAGCCCAACUGUUUGAGUUUUCUUAUAGUAAUCUAAGUUUUAAAUACAUCUAAGGAUGUAUGUUAAAAAUACAUCCUUGUUCAUUCUCUGCCUUAGUUAGAUUUGUUUUGUUCCCUUGUUUUUCACUCAAACUGUAGUAUUUCUUUUGUUUCAAGCCAAGUGCUCCGUUGGAUCCUGUGAUAAGUGCAUCCAGUGUAAAGUGGAGAGACAUCCACCAAAAUCAUACAGGGCCUCUCAUAGAUUUUGUCUUUGUGUUUUCUAAAACAAAUAUACUCCUUUAGCAUGACUCUGGAUUCUGCAAGGAAUUCUGAUUUCCCAUGGCUCAGUUUGAGUAAAGUAUUUUAAUGCCUGAUCUUCAACCCACAGAUCAGCACUAUCAGUAGUCAUGGCAGAAGAGAAUCAAUCACUAUGAGGUUUCUAAUCCCUGUUACUCUGUAGUGGUAGGAGUUACUCCUUUGAAGGUUAUGCUUGGGUUUUCAGUGGGCAGCAAAUUGAAACCACUUCAAGGAGCUGAAGUAUUACGAGUAUUCAUUGUAGUGAGAUGCUUUACCCAAUUAGAAAAACCUCCACUCUUUCCUCCUUAGCGCACCCUUUCUCUUAUUUUGGAAUGCAGUGGAAACAUUGUGUUAUUAAUUACAUUCUCCCAAAUGAACUUGCAAAUAAAGCUUAAUUAAAACUGUGGGAGCUGCAUUACACUAAUGUGGUCUUGUAAACACAGCAGAAUUAGGAGUUGUGGGUGAGUAGCUAGUUACAGAAUUGAAAAUAGCUAUCCCCAUUAUUUUUAAUGAAUAUUUGAGGAAUUUGUACAUUGGAUUUGAUACAGGUCUGUCUACAUGACAAUGGCCAUGUAGUAGUGUCAUUUCUAAUUCUGUAGCCACUUAGACUCAUUUAUCCUCAGAGCUGUUAUUCCUAAAUUGGGAGCAAUUACCUUGCUGGCUGAGAGACCUGAGAAAACAAGGAAAGAAAUGGGUCCUUACAUGCCAUCAAAUAGCAGUGUUCAUCAUUAAUGCUCCACAUAUUCUGAUGUCAGGUGUUUACACAGGUCUCUCCCAUGGCUUAUGCUGUGUGAACAGCACUAGAGGAUGAUUGGAACUGCUGAGUGUGAUGAAAAG